CCGGAAGGGGCGCCUUAAAGGGGAGGCCGCUGAUUCGCCUCCGAUUUCUGUGCCUGCAUCGGCCCCACCCUCUUAAAGGGCAAGGGACUGCGUUUCGAGGGCGUGGCAGGCUUCCCAUUUUACAAAGCUUUGCGCCUUGCCCCCCAAAAGAGGGUUAUUCCAUUGAAGGCCAGUGCCAGUUUCCCAGACAUCCAAGGGAAAACUGCAGGAUCUUUGUGCUGCAGAGGUGGAGAUGGUGUGAGGCCGACGCAUCCCCUAGAGGGGCAGCCGGCCCGCUCCAAGGCGGGGAUGGGCUCGCCACUCCGGAGCGCGGGCGUCCCGAGUAUACGGCGAUGACCCCUUCUCAGAGGCAGACCAGCCCCUUGGGAUAAUCAAUGUCUUUCAAGGAGCUGCUCGCACCCGAAAGGGACGCCCAUCUUUUAAAGGAAAGACCCCUGUCCAGACGAGACCUGCAGCUUGCCUUCCUCCAGAAGCGUUUCCAGCGCACACGCCACGCCCGACGUUAUGUAGGGGCCGAGACACUACAGGGAACAAAACCAAGGCCUUUGCGUGGGGCUGGCCUUCUAGCCCGGGGAGGCAGAGGCAAUCAUUGUGUGGUAGCGGUUGUCACCUGGGGGCGGUGCUGUUCUCCGGGAUGACACUGCAGGAGCGAGUAGGAGGCUUCCUAGGCGAGGGUCAUUGUGGCUGCUGCCACACCUGCGAGGGUGUGGGUCGAGUUCAGGGUCGCCGCUCAACACCAGGAAAGCAGGGGACCCUUGGACAGAGGAGUCCGCUCCCAAGGCCAAGAUGCCUCGCUGUGUAGCACUUGGAUGGUGAUGAGCGCGAUGGAGAGCAAGGUGUCACUGUGUAGUCCAGGCUGCCCUUGAACUCCCUAAUAGUCCAGGCUGGCCUUGAACUCAAGAUCCUCCUGCUUCAGUCUCCUGAUUGCCGGGAUCAUAAGUGUGCACAGCCACGCCCAGCAGGGGAGGAGGUGCUGAGGACAGGAAGCUGCGGUGGGUGCAUUUAGAGGGAGGCAGCUCAGCCUGAAAGGCCAGGCCGAGCCUCCUCAGAACCGCUGGGGCCUCUGGAGGGGCGGCUGGACUGUGUGCGGCAAGUUUUGUUCAAACCCGGAAGUGACCCCAGGCCACACCCCUCUGCCCUGCAGGCCCAGGGGACACCUGGGGUUGGGAAGCCCCGCUCCUGAGCAGGUUCCCUGAGCAAAGGGGACCCAGGGGGUGGCCCUCUCCCUCCAGGGCCCAGGCUCUGUGGCCUGACCUGGAACCCCCGCCCCCAGGUGUGAUGGUCGGCUCCCAAGCAGACAUGGUGCCUGCCUCCACCACCGAGGGGCCAGGGAGAAGCUGGCGCCGGCGGCCCCGCGACCACGGCCCAGUAUGAGUGCGGGAGUGCGGCAAGUCUUUCCGGUGGUCGUCCAGGCUCCUGCAUCACCAGCGCACGCACACUGGCGAGCGGCCCUACAAGUGCCCCCGACUGCCCCAAGGCCUUCAAGGGCUCCUCUGCACUGCUCUACCAUCAGCGAGGCCACACGGGC
Molecule: long non-coding RNA, 1528 nt
Filed under: Heterocephalus glaber (naked mole-rat)
Lineage: Eukaryota; Metazoa; Chordata; Mammalia; Rodentia; Bathyergidae
Description: lncRNA (ENSHGLG00000040562.1)
Source: RNAcentral